CAGAGGUUAAUUUUGAAAAAAGGCUUGCUAAAGAACAUAGCCUAGCCGACUGUAAUCAAGUCCCAGAUCGACCAGGCUGGUAUACUAGGCAAUAAGCUAUAUAAGGUGUUCCUAACCCUCCCUCAGGUACAUGUACAUGUACUAUGUGGCUGAGGGUGUGAGGCUCUAUUGUCAGGAGACCUGGAGGGCGGUCACACAGGACCAGGAAAGUGCAGCCAGCACAUUAACAACUCCUGGUGAAGGCACCCACCUUAGACACACGACUGACGGCUAGCCACAGGGAUCACUCGAUUAUGCAGGAGACGAUAUUGGGACGCCUACGUGCAAGGAAUUUUAGCGAGGGUGUUGGAGGUAAUUAAAUUCGCUGGAAGCAGAUUUGAGAAGGCGCGUGCCUGUACACACACACACACUACUGACAAACAUUUGGUUCAGAUGAGCUCAGCCAACAAGUCACAAGUAAGUAUCCUUUGUCUUCGACUUAAUUCGUGGAUUUACAAAAUAAUGCUUCGUUCUCGAGUUAUAGUUUUGCUUACUUGGAAUGUCAUUGCAGCCUUUUCAGAAGAGCACGUAGCCAACCUUGUUUACGGAGUGUCAAUUGGUUGAUCAUUACCCAUUCUUUGAGUUUGCAUGCGCAGCAAAAUUAAUAAUGCAAACAUGUUUGUCAUGUAUAUAAAUUUAAAAAAGCUUAGCUUUAUGUUGUAUGUAGCUUUGGCAUCUCCACCGAGGCAUCAGCACCUGAGGUGCUAUGUAUAUUGCAUAAUCAUACCAAGAGUUUAUGAUAGAGAGAGAGUAUCGAACGUAGGCAUACUGUACAUCAAAUGUAUGCGGAGAGUAACGUGACUUCCUGUAUCUGUCACAAGCUUGGAAUUUGCACACUGACCAAUCUAAACCUGGGUGAUGUAAUCUAUUACAAUGACUGCUACACGUACAUGUAACAGUGUGUAUAAACAAGUUUCUGCACUCAAGAAUUUCAGCGGACAAGUAAGUGUUUAGAGCGACAGUCACAUGCCCAUGUUAGAGAAUCCAGUGGCAGAAUCAACUUACUUCUUUUUCUUGAGGUCCUGGUAUACCGGAAGUGGACACAUAUUCUACAGGAAAUGGACGCAUAUUCUACAGGAAGUGGCAAAUAAUUUGCAGGAAGUUCUCAAAAGUUGGAAUGAAAUUUUUAGUGAAAGUGACAAGAAGAUGACAAAAACAUUAUAAAAAACACAGAAUGCAAUAGUUUGUUCAGUCAAUAUCCAUUUUUUCCAUGUCCACUGUUGCUUUGUAUUGCUUUUUCCAGUUGGGCAUGGGCAAGGGGGGCCAGGAAGCAUCAAAAACACUUUAGCAGUCGCUUGACACUUUCUAUUGAGUUUUUUAAGGUUCCAUGCCGGUCCAGUCUGCUCUAUACCCCCCUCCACUCCACCGCAGAGCUUCAUUCUUCUUCUUGUAGUGUUGCAGUCAGUUCUAGCAUAGUUCUAGGUUCUUUUUACUUGUCUGUUCUUUCCAGUAUCUUCAAGAAGCGUUUCACAGCUCUCCAGCUCCAAACCUGGCUUUUUAUAACCACGCCUCGCGCAUGCGCAAUGAAGUCCAAGUUAGAUAGACCACACCCACUUGUAGAAUAUGCGUCUUAGUAACCGCCAUGGUUACGGUUAGCUUCCCUCGACUUUGCGCCUCGGGCUAACCGCAACCGCGGAGGUUACAUAGACGCAUAUUCUACUCUUAGGUGUAGUCUAUCCUAUACUUCUAUAACACUCUAAUACUUUUGAGCAAAAGCACAAACAUGACGAGAGGCAUUAGCAAGAGCACGCCUGCAACACUUGUUCUUAACUGUUUUUACUGCAUUAUACACCUUCACCUCGCCUGAAAAUGUGUGUGUACAGAGCCUAUGGUCCCACUGUGUACACUGCUAAGGUUAAGGGUAUAAUAAUACUGUGUACACUGCUAAGGUUAAGGGUAUAAUAAUAACAUGCAUUUUGUGUAUCUCGUCUGCUAUUUUAGUAUUACAUGUGAUAUGCAUAACUUGUUGAUACCUACAUGUACAUAUGACUAUUCCAGAAUGUGCAGUUUUGUAUGCUCAUACUGUGGACGUUCAGUUGACCGCCACUAGCCUGCUCUGUAUGUCAUAAUAAUUGU
Halichondria panicea is the source of this 2115-nucleotide long non-coding RNA. RefSeq lists it as uncharacterized. The transcript is spliced from 5 exons. The record is from RefSeq and is a predicted model, not a curated record. NCBI's taxonomy places the organism in Eukaryota, Metazoa, Porifera, Demospongiae, Suberitida, Halichondriidae.